Molecule: non-coding RNA, 3213 nt
Organism: Meleagris gallopavo (turkey)
Lineage: Eukaryota; Metazoa; Chordata; Aves; Galliformes; Phasianidae
Source: RefSeq, a predicted model, not a curated record
UGGAUCGGGGCGGCGGGGCGGGGCCUGGAGGCGGCGGGGCGAGAAGAACCGAGCGGCACCGAGGCCAACCAUCCGUUGGUGCGAAGGUUUCGGCCGGGAUCGAAGCGAUCCCGAACGGGGGGGAGGGGGAAUCCCGGAGUUCUUCCCGCUGAUUUCUCGCAAAUGUCCCCGCGUUCGUCAGCCGACGGCCGGCACGAAUCCCCGCCCUGCGCCUUAACGGCCAGGAACCCCGAGAAUGGGGCCAAGAACGAACGGCCCCAAGAGCAGCCGGCCCCAAUAACGGCCCCAAUAACAGCCCCAGGAACUGACAGCCCCAAUAACAGCCUCAAGAACGGUGCUAAUAGCUAACAGCCUCAGUAACUAACAGCCCCAAGAACAACCCUGAUAACAACCCCAAGAACUAACAGCCCCAAUAACAACCCCAGGAACAGCCCCAGGAACUGACAGCCCCAAGAACAGUGCUAAUAACUAACAGCCCCAAGAACAACCCUGAUAACAGCCCCAAGAACUAACGGCCCCAAAGAACAACCCCAGUAACAGUCAGCCCCAGAAACGAACAGCCCCAAGAACAGCCCCUGUAACAACCAGCCCCAGGAACUAACAGCCCCAAGGCAGUGCUAAUAACUAACAGCCCCAAGAACAACCCCAGUAACAGCCAGCCCCAAUAACUAACGGCCCCAAGAACAGCGCUGCUAUCUAACAACCCCAAUAACUAGCAGCCCCGAGAACAACACUAAGAACUAACAGCACCAGUAACAACCCUGAUAACAGCCCCAAGAACAUCCAGCCCCAUUAACAACCCCAAGAACUAACAGUCCCAGUAACGAACAGCUGCAAGAACUAACAGCCAGCACCACUAAUAGCCAGCCCCAUUAACAACCAGCCCCAUUAACAGCCCCAAUACAUCCCAUUUCUUCAGCAGUUGCCCACCAGAUACCCCCAGAUCCCCCUAUGAAAUCCCCCCCCAAUCCUUCCCUCUGAUCCCCUCCCCAUAAUUCCCCCCUCUCAUGUUCAUUCCUCCCCCUGAUCCCCCCCAAUUCAACCCAUGUCCCCCCCAGACCCCACCCAGCAGCUCUCCCCAUUCUAAACCAAGCCCUCCCCAGCUGGCAGCUCCAGACUUCCACCCCCUCCCCCCAUUCCUCACCCUACAUCCCCCAAUUCCCUCCACGCAAACAUCCCCCAUUUCUUCAGCCACCAUCCGUUUAUCCCCCACAUUCCCUUCACCCCAAACAUCCCCCGUUUCCUCAGCCAGCACCUGGCAGCUCACACCCCCCAAACGAUUCCAUCCUGGCAGCUGACAUCCCAAUUCUUUAGCAUGGAUCCAUCGAAUACCCCUUAAUUCCCCUCCCUGAAGGAACCAGCUCCGUCCAUUGCUUUGUGCCCUAUAGCAGUGGGGCUGCUCCUCUUGGCUCCCCAAAACCCCAUUUUGUUGCAGACCCCCCUUCGCCCCCAUCACAUCCUUCUGCCCUCUGUGUCCACCCUGAAUAUUUCACCCUUCUUUAUUUUUACUUAUGUAAGCUUCAAAACAACCCCAGAAAGCUGCAGGUAUCCCUUUUCCAUGGGUUUUUUUUCCCUCUGAGAGCUCCUUAAUGCCAUCCCACUGUUAUGCUCUCCAUAAAACCCUUCUGGCAUCGGUUUAAGGCAACCUGAGGAGUGCAGCUGGUGGGGUUUUGUCCGAAACACGGCGUUGAUGGGACGGAAGGGGCGAUGCUGAUAGAUGCCGUGGCCCUGUGCUGUGUGCUGGCUCAGCUGGAGCCGUUCCACCGAGCUCUGCCUGCUCCUCUCAGCUUUGGGGGCGGAUGAGACGACUUUGGCUGUUUGUUGUGGUUCUGGAAAUGCGGUUUCCUUACCUCAAACGAACGCUCGAUGCUGAAGGUGAUCUCAAAAGCUGAAGCUCUGUUGCUCAGCCCUCCGCCUGCUGUCAUUUCCCACCCCGUGGCACUGAUCUGACGUCAGCUGUGCUCCUGUUGGGCUGUUUGAAGUCGUGCUGAUGCUGUCGUGUUGUAAAACCUGCGCCCCUGCCCCGUCCCCUUCGCUGCAAACACAGCACUCAGCACCAAAACUGGGGCUUUCCCAGUUUGUUUUGCACCCCGGCUGUGCUAAUUACUGUAAUUACUGUGAGGCUGAGUAACUGUUGCUGCCGUGUUAUCUGAUGGCUUCAAGGGAGGGGACCGGCCGUUAGCUAACGAAGCGGAGCCCUCGUUAGCACGAAUCCCGUGCGUGCAUCACAUGGAAGGCCGUGUUUGCAGGGCAGCAGACCUGCUCUGCGUGUUGCUGCUUCGUUAACUCCUCGGUGCUUUAAUUUCCAUCCGGUUUGGGGCUGUUUGGAUGCCGUAAGGAUGGCAGUCAUCUCUGCGCUGUGGGCUUUGCUGCUGGGGAGGAGGAGUUCUCCGCUCUCUGCACGGUUUGAAGUCGUUGCAGGAGGUUUAUCUCGGAACGGUCGAGAUUAUUUUUGUUACUAUUUGUCAUCAAAUUACUCUUCUACGGCCACAACUUUCCUGCCUGGGGUAGAGGAGGCCCCGCGUGGCAGUGAUGGAGGACGCGACGCUGCUGGGAUUUGCGGUGACAAAAGGGGUUUGGUGCAGCUGCAAGGACCCGACGUUGGUUGUGUGGGCUCAGCAGCCGAAGUGCUGCUGUCAGCUCCCAUCACAAAGCCAGCAGAUCAGAAACCAUGGGCCGAUUUCCCACCUUUCAGCUCCGUGUUCCCCCCGCCUCCGGGUGCCAAUCCCUGCCUAUGGAGGGGUUCAUCACUUCGGGAUGCGCUCAGCUGCUAAUUACCCCCCCUUAACGAGCUCAGGCUCCGCCAGAAGGGAUGACACGGAUCCGGGGAGAUGCAGAGCAGCUCCAAAAACCAAAACAGGAACUUGGGGCAACGGUGAGAACAUCACUGAAUAUCCUGAAACCUGAAACCCCGCGGGCUCAUUCCCGGAAAUGGGAAGCUGUGCUUGGGAUUGGGGACGUUGGUGUCUGCCUUCCUGUUGGGAAUCUCCGCAAGCUUUUCCUGCUCCCAAACGCUCCUCUGCGUGCAGGAAGAAAUGGAACCUUUGGCAGGAGGAGCCGCUGCCGUUGGAGCUCUGUGCUUUUCCUUAUUGCUGUCCCGCUGCAGAUCUUUCUUCCAGCGGUAGCCUCAAAAAUGGAGGUGGGAGGGCUUGGCUGGUGAAGGAGCAGCACCCGACGCCUCGAGGGCUCGAAGGAUUUAAGGGUGUCCUGGUG